RNAcentral lists this small RNA (28 nucleotides) under Bombyx mori (domestic silkworm). RNAcentral's name for it is "ovarian small RNA-16774". Lineage: Eukaryota; Metazoa; Arthropoda; Insecta; Lepidoptera; Bombycidae. The record is from RNAcentral.
GCGAAUAGCCACCCUUGUCGGGAUGUCC